Molecule: ribosomal RNA, 630 nt
Filed under: Burkholderia sp. M73C5b-
Lineage: Bacteria; Pseudomonadati; Pseudomonadota; Betaproteobacteria; Burkholderiales; Burkholderiaceae
Description: bacterial SSU rRNA
Rfam family: Bacterial small subunit ribosomal RNA
Source: RNAcentral
UGCAGUCGAACGGCAGCACGGGGGCAACCCUGGUGGCGAGUGGCGAACGGGUGAGUAAUACAUCGGAACGUGUCCUGUAGUGGGGGAUAGCCCGGCGAAAGCCGGAUUAAUACCGCAUACGCUCUACGGAGGAAAGGGGGGGAUCGCAAGACCUCCCGCUACAGGGGCGGCCGAUGGCAGAUUAGCUAGUUGGUGGGGUAAAGGCCUACCAAGGCGACGAUCUGUAGCUGGUCUGAGAGGACGACCAGCCACACUGGGACUGAGACACGGCCCAGACUCCUACGGGAGGCAGCAGUGGGGAAUUUUGGACAAUGGGCGAAAGCCUGAUCCAGCAAUGCCGCGUGUGUGAAGAAGGCCUUCGGGUUGUAAAGCACUUUUGUCCGGAAAGAAAACCUUCGGGUUAAUACCCUGGGGGGAUGACGGUACCGGAAGAAUAAGCACCGGCUAACUACGUGCCAGCAGCCGCGGUAAUACGUAGGGUGCAAGCGUUAAUCGGAAUUACUGGGCGUAAAGCGUGCGCAGGCGGUCCGCUAAGACAGAUGUGAAAUCCCCGGGCUUAACCUGGGAACUGCAUUUGUGACUGGCGGGCUAGAGUAUGGCAGAGGGGGGUAGAAUUCCACGUGUAGCAGU